GGUUGAUGACAAGUCCCAUCGUUAUUCCAUUGAAGUUUAUGAGAAGUUGAGGGAAGUUAUUCAUCAAGCUUCCUUGUUUGGAUAUGUAGGAGAUGAGUCUAUUUCAUCACUGGAUGUGCUUUCUACCACAGAGACCUUAAAGACUUCAUGUACAUAUCAUAGUGAGAAACUUGCAAUUGCAUUUGGAUUGGCAAGAAUUUCA
This 202-nucleotide unclassified non-coding RNA is filed under the name Hevea brasiliensis (rubber tree). The record is from RNAcentral. Lineage: Eukaryota; Viridiplantae; Streptophyta; Magnoliopsida; Malpighiales; Euphorbiaceae.